CUGCAGCCAAUUAAGCCGACCAGGUUCCUCCCCUAGUGGAUACUGGUGUGCAGUGUCUGCGGACAGCAGCCUCCUGGGUAGUGUACGCACCCUAUUCCUUGUAUAGGUUGCUCUAAGGGACCUAGGAGACAAAG
Molecule: small nucleolar RNA, 134 nt
Organism: Meriones unguiculatus (Mongolian gerbil)
Lineage: Eukaryota; Metazoa; Chordata; Mammalia; Rodentia; Muridae
Gene: SNORA70
Rfam family: Small nucleolar RNA SNORA70
About the family: snoRNA U70 seems to be exclusive to mammals and is a member of the H/ACA class of snoRNA which contain H (ANANNA) and ACA box motifs. H/ACA box snoRNAs are involved in the conversion of uridines to pseudouridines (5-ribosyluracil) a constituent of structural RNAs (transfer, ribosomal, small nuclear, and small nucleolar).
Source: Ensembl